GUGAGGAAUUUUCCGCAAUGGGCGAAAGCCUGACGGAGCAAUGCCGCGUGAAGGAUGAAGGCCUAUGGGUUGUAAACUUCUUUUCUUAGAGAAGAAUAUUGACGGUAUCUGAGGAAUAAGCAUCGGCUAACUCUGUGCCAGCAGCCGCGGUAAGACAGAGGAUGCAAGCGUUAUCCGGAAUGAUUGGGCGUAAAGCGUCUGUAGGUGGCUUCAAAAGUCUCCUGUCAAAGAUCAGGGCUUAACCCUGGGCCGGCAGGAGAAACUCUGAGGCUAGAGUUUGGUAGGGGCAGAGGGAAUUCCCGGUGGAGCGGUGAAAUACGUAGAGAUCGGGAGGAACACCAAAGGCGAAAGCACUCUGCUGGGCCACAACUGACACUGAGAGACGAAAGCGAGGGGAGCAAAAGGGAAUAGAAACCCGUGUAGUCC
RNAcentral lists this ribosomal RNA (426 nucleotides) under uncultured bacterium. RNAcentral describes it as "partial 16S ribosomal RNA". It matches the Rfam family "Bacterial small subunit ribosomal RNA", at positions 354 to 796 of the family's 1533-position model. The record is from RNAcentral.